CCUUCUCCCUCGCCCCGUGCCCGAGGAAAUGGCCCAAAGUGCCACUUCCGGCACGCGUGGCAUAGGUUCGCCAUCAAUGCCUUACAGCCACCCCUAAAACCCAUUAUUCCAGGGGAGAAUGACAGCUUUCAACCUUGGGUGAAUCCGAACACAAAAGUCAGAGACUGGCAGUGAGGUGGAAUAUACUGGCUGAAUAUAAUGAGAGAAUGAUGCCUCAUAACCCACUGUUAGUUACUGUAAUACAGAUCCAUGCACAUCUGGUACAGAACCUGCUAUCAUCCUGUGUGUUUUGUGUCUUCCAUCACAGCAACCCCCACGGCCCCAGCUGUAUUUCCGUUGUCCCCCUGUUGCCAAGAUCUCUACACUGCCUCCAAAGUCACGCUUGGGUGUUUGAUCACGGGCUACUUUCCUGAGCCAGCCACAGUGCAAUGGAACUCAGGAGCCAUCUCCACAGGCAUCCGGACCUUCCCAGCAAUAGCUCACUCCAGCGGCCAUUACACCCUCAGCAGCCAGCUCACUGUCCCAGUCUCCAGCUGGGAGUCUGGGAAUUUCCGAUGCAACGUUGUCCAUACAGCUACCAACUCCUCGCUCAACCAAGAGAUUGAACGCUGCAGUUUGCCAGUUCGACCAGCGGUCACCCUGCUCCACUCCUCCUGCAACGAUGAAUCUGCUGAUGUUACCAUUCAGCUACUAUGCCGUGUAGUGGGCUUCUACCCCAAAGAGGUGACGGUCGAUUGGCUAGUGGGUGAGCAAACUGGGUUGUUGCCCUCAGUCACAGAGAGCCCUAGACAAGAUGAGAACAGCUACACCUUCAGUACCACCAGCACAGCCAAUGUCAGCCAAGCAGAUUGGCUGGAUGGGAAUGCUUACUCCUGCCAGGUGACUCAUGACGCUACCCAGACCAAGGUGAAAAGCAAGGCCAAGAUCUGUGGAGGCAGCACCACAGAGAUUCGAACCUUCAUCCUGCGCCCAAGCCCCAAUGACAUCUAUGUGGACAAGGUUCCCAAGCUCACCUGUGUGGUCGUCAACAUGGAGAGUGAAAUUGGAUUGGAAGUGGCUUGGUCACGGGAAAAAAGAGGGGGCCUGAACCCUGUACCCAUAGACGUGAAAAAAGAGCUGAAUGGCACCCUGACAGGGUCCAGUUCUCUGAUCCUCUCUGACGGAGAAUGGCUGUCAGGAGAGACUUUUACCUGCACAGUGAAACACCCAGGCUUGCCUUUACCGAAGAGUACCAGGAUUAGCAAGAAGAUAGUGGCCAGCACCGCCCCCAGUGUGUAUCUCUUCUGUCCUAACGAUGAGGAGCUCGCCUCUAAUGGCAGAUAUGUCUCCAUCACUGCCCUGGUCAAAGGGUUCAAGCCCAGUGAAAUCUCCCUGAAAUGGCUACGGGGUGGACAGCCCUUGGAUGAAGCUGACUACAUCACCACCCCAGUCUUCAGCGAUGGCGACGACACUUAUUUCUUGUUCAGCAAACUGAAGGUCCUCAAGACUGACUGGAACCGAGGUGAUUCCUACACAUGCAUGGUUGUCCAUGAGGGCCUGAGCGACAAGUUCAUCCAGAAGAACAUCGAGAAAUCCCAGGGAAUGACAAUAUUACAAAUGGAUUAUAGAGAUGAGACAGAAGAAGAUCUAGAAAGUCUAUGGGCCACCAUCUUCGUUUUCUUUGUUCUCUUCCUCCUCAGUGUGUGCUAUAGUGCUACAGUGACACUGUUCAAGGUCAAAUUGCUUUUUUCUGCAGUGAUGCACCUGAAAGAACAACCUGCAAGACCAGAAUAUAGGAAUGUAAUCCCUCUUACAGCGUAGCAGACUUUUUCCUAAGAACCUCAUUCUUUAUUUUCAGAGGAAGUCACUACUCAGAGCUACAUGGUCUGCUCUGGUAUGGAUAUCCCAGGCCUUUCCCUCAGUAAGGGGUCAUCUGUUCCUUAUGCCUCCCUCUUCCAGUGCACUCUGGUCUAUUUUAUGAUAAGUGAUGAGGUGCUCACAGCCCCAGAAUCCAUCAGCCCAAACAUGCCACAGCCUGACUAGGGCUCAUCAGUUGUUGACAUCAGCUGAAAAACUGCCUUCAAGAAAAACAGUUCCUUCAAAAAGGUUCUUAACUGAACUAGUUUCCACCAAGUUUCAGAAGCACCCACUUUUCUCAUUGAACCUGUGGUUCUAUUAGGAAUGGAUGGUGCACACACACAUACCAGUAGAUCUGGAGAAAUCAACCAAGUGUACUACCUCUGACCUUAUUUCCAGCACACUUUCCCUCUUCUCUGAGCUUCUGGCCUCCCGUGCAUCUCCUUUUCCAAUUCACCAUGCAUUUGCUAUGCAAGCUCCUACCCAAACCCGACCCCUUAUUCUCCAAGAUCUGUACCAGAAGCCUUGUUCUAAUAACUCAGAGAAAAAUCCUGUGGCAGAUACAAAAGGGGCCUUUCCAGUGCUGCCACCCUAGUUGUACAAUUCCCUUGGACUCCUGUUUCACUGGCUUGGGGCACAAAGUGAAGAAGACAAUAUUAUCCUCCUGAACCUGCAAAGAUGAAUUAUUUUAAUGCUGUUGUUGUUGUUGUUGUUGUUGUUGUUGUCGUUGUUGUUGUUGUUGUCAUUCUGCUUUUACUUCUGUUCUUACCUCCCUUGGUUUGUGUUUUUUAAUAUUUUAUCCUUUAAACUUAAUGCUCAUGUUGCAGAUUUAAAUAUUUGUUAUGGUUAAUCACUUUAGAAACAUGUGAUGCAGGGCAAGGUGCAAAUAUUUUUUUAAAAACAGAUAAAUGAAUUGAUUGUACCUACCGAUCUGACUUCUCUCCACUCCACCAUUCCUGCCACUAUCAAGUUUCCAUUGUAUGCAGCAUUGGGAAACUACCCUAGAGUCAUAGAGUUGGAAGGGGCACUGAUGGCCAUGCAGUCCAACCCAAUGCCAGUGCAAGAAUCCACCACUAAAGCAACCCAAGAGGCCAUCUUCCAGCAUCUGCUUGAAAACAUCUAGUCCCCCUGUCUAUAUUGGAACAUAAUGACCAACAUCUGACUCAAGUCUUCCCCCAACUACUUCCUUCUCCUUCUCCUUCUGCUUCUCUUCUUCUUCAUUCUCCUCCUCCUCCUCCUCCUCCUCACGACUGCCUUAUUAAUAGUUCCAUAUUUUGUGCUCAUUACUG
Sceloporus undulatus (fence lizard) is the source of this 3125-nucleotide non-coding RNA. NCBI's taxonomy places the organism in Eukaryota, Metazoa, Chordata, Lepidosauria, Squamata, Phrynosomatidae. The record is from the annotation of a RefSeq genome assembly.